CCUACGGGGGGCAGCAGUGGGGAAUAUUGGACAAUGGGGGCAACCCUGAUCCAGCCAUGCCGCGUGUGUGAAGAAGGCCCUCGGGUUGUAAAGCACUUUCAGUGAGGAAGAACGCCUGGUGGUUAAUACCCAUCAGGAAAGACAUCACUCACAGAAGAAGCACCGGCUAACUCCGUGCCAGCAGCCGCGGUAAUACGGAGGGUGCGAGCGUUAAUCGGAAUUACUGGGCGUAAAGCGCGCGUAGGUGGCUUGAUAAGCCGGUUGUGAAAGCCCCGGGCUCAACCUGGGAACGGCAUCCGGAACUGUCAAGCUAGAGUGCAGGAGAGGAAGGUAGAAUUCCCGGUGUAGCGGUGAAAUGCGUAGAGAUCGGGAGGAAUACCAGUGGCGAAGGCGGCCUUCUGGACUGACACUGACACUGAGGUGCGAAAGCGUGGGUAGCAAACAGGAUUAGAGACCCUUGUAGUC
This 465-nucleotide ribosomal RNA is filed under the name Vreelandella stevensii. RNAcentral describes it as "partial 16S ribosomal RNA". It matches the Rfam family "Bacterial small subunit ribosomal RNA", at positions 338 to 795 of the family's 1533-position model. Lineage: Bacteria; Pseudomonadati; Pseudomonadota; Gammaproteobacteria; Oceanospirillales; Halomonadaceae. The record is from RNAcentral.